Molecule: long non-coding RNA, 703 nt
Organism: Oncorhynchus keta (chum salmon)
Lineage: Eukaryota; Metazoa; Chordata; Actinopteri; Salmoniformes; Salmonidae
Exons: 3
Source: RefSeq, a predicted model, not a curated record
GGUCGGGGUGCUGCAGGUUUUCCCCCUAGAGACUAAUGGCUUGGGGGGCCGGGUGCUGCAGGUUUUCCCCCUCACUAGAGACUAAUGGCUUGGGGGGGUCGGGUGCUGCAGGUUUUCCCCCUCACUAGAGACUAAUGGCUUGGGGGGUCGGGGUGCUGCAGGUUUUCCCCCUAGAGACUAAUGGCUUGGGGGGUCGGGUGCUGCAGGUUUUCCCCCUCACUGGAGACUAAUGGCUUGGGGGGUCAGGGUGCUGCAGGUUUUCCCCCUCACUAGAGACUAAUGGCUUGGGGGGUCAGGGUGCUGCAGGUUUUCCCCCUCACUGGAGACUAAUGGCUUGGGGGGUCGUGUGCUGCAGGUUUUCCCCCUCACUAGAGACUAAUGGCUUGGGGGGUCGGGUGCUGCAGGUUUUCCCCCUAGAGACUAAUGGCUUGGGGGGGUCGGGGUGCUGCAGGUUUUCCCCCUAGAGACUAAUGGCUUGCUAGUACAGGACUGGUAAAUGCUGUGACUGGUGACAUUUUUUACUAAAUGUAUUUUGAGUGUUCAUUUGUAACUUGAGUCUGAUUUAAUUAUCUGUACAAAACAGUUGAUCUGAUAAUACCUGUGGAAUAUAAAAAUACUUGCUUGAUAUGUUUUCCAGUUUCUUAAAAUGAAACUUCUUUCUCAAUAAAAACUCAAAUGGUUCAUUUCAUUUACAGCAGCUACU